This 456-nucleotide ribosomal RNA is filed under the name Loxoneptera rectacerosa. RNAcentral's name for it is "partial 16S ribosomal RNA". The record is from RNAcentral. Lineage: Eukaryota; Metazoa; Arthropoda; Insecta; Lepidoptera; Crambidae.
CUGAUAUAUUUAUAUUAAAGGGCUGCAGUAUAUUGACUGUACAAAGGUAGCAUAAUCAAUAGUCUUUUAAUUGAUGACUUGUAUGAAGGAUUGGAUGAAAUAUAAACUGUCUCUAAUUUAUAUAAAGAAUUUAAUUUUUUAAUUAAAAAGUUAAAAUAAAUUUAAAAGACGAGAAGACCCUAUAGAGUUUUAUAUUUAAAUUUAUUAAUAUUAUUUUUUAGUUUUAUAAUUGAGAUUAGUUUAAAUAUUAUAUUGGGGUGAUAAAAAAAUAUAAUUAACUUUUUUAUUUUAAUUCAUAGAUAAGUGAAUAUAUGAUCCAUAAUUUUUGAUUAAAAGAAAAAAUUACCUUAGGGAUAACAGCGUAAUUUUUUCUUUUAGUUCAUAUAAAAGAAAGAGUUUGCGACCUCGAUGUUGGAUUAAGAUAAAAUUUAUAUGCAAAAGUAUAAUAUUUUGAUC